This 938-nucleotide long non-coding RNA is filed under the name Capra hircus (goat). RNAcentral's name for it is "lncRNA (ENSCHIG00010006778.1)". Lineage: Eukaryota; Metazoa; Chordata; Mammalia; Artiodactyla; Bovidae. The record is from RNAcentral.
CAGGGAUCAAACCUGCGUCUCCUGCAUUGGCAGGCAGGUUCAUUACCACUGAGCCACCUAGGAAGCCAUAUAUACAUAUUUGGAACAGAGCCAUCCAUUUGAAGAAGCAUCACCUGAGUGGGUAGCACUGGGACAGAGUCCUGGAUGAGACGAGAGUGUUGUUGGGGGAAGUGUCACCUGCCGAGGAAGCUUUGAGUCAGCCCCGGUGGCAGCUGCAUGACCCGGGGCAAGGCGAUAACUUCUGGGAAGCUUGUUUCCAUGGUUUAAAAUAAAGCUUAAAGCUAAGCCCUACUGAGGGUGGUGGGGGAAGCUUCCCAGGUGGCUCAGUGGUUAAAAAAAAAAGGGCCGCCUGCCAGAGCAGGAGCUGCAGGAGCUUCAGGUUCAGUCCCUGGGUCCGGAAGAUCCCCUGCAAGAAGAGAUACAGUAUUCUUGCCUGGAGAAUCCCAUGGACCGAGGAACCUGGUGGGUUACAGUCCACGGGGUCUCAAAGAGUUGGACUCUUCUGAGCAACUGGGCAUGCAUGCAAUGACCCUAUGGGAGAUUAAAUGGAAGAAGGCCUGGGGAGGCCUGGCCCCCUGUACAAUCUGGACCAGGCAGGGAUCCCAAUCUGCUGCCAAAAUGAGAUCUCCCUGACGGCUCUGCGGUGGAAAGAGGCCGAGCGAGCGAGCAAGCGGCAGAAAGCAGGUCUGCGGGGAUGGCAGCCGGCGAAGGUAUCACACCGCAAGCACCUGCCACGCUCCAAAAAGACAGCCGGGGUUUCACAUCGCAUUAGGCCAGGGCUGUGCUCGGGGAGGGCCGACCCUGGUGGGAUCUGGGCCUCGGCAGCCAUCUCCGACAAUUUCUCACCCUUUUUGGGCUCAGAAAAGCCCCCGAUACAGUUAGCCAAAUGGCUUUCCUGCAUCGAUUUUUAUCCCCUUGGGUAUUUUGGAGGAAAUUAA